GAUGAAGAACGUAGCGAAAUGCGAUAAGUAAUGUGAAUUGCAGAAUUCAGUGAAUCAUCGAAUCUUUGAACGCACAUUGCGCCCGCUAGUAUUCUGGCGGGCAUGCCUGUCUGAGCGUCAUUUCAACCCUCAUGCCCCUAGGGCGUGGUGUUGGGGAUCGGCCAAAGCCCGCGAGGGACGGCCGGCCCCUAAAUCUAGUGGCGGACCCGUCGUGGCCUCCUCUGCGAAGUAGUGAUAUUCCGCAUCGGAGAGCGACGAGCCCCUGCCGUUAAACCCCCAACUUUCCAAGGUUGACCUCAGAUCAGGUAGGAAUACCCGCUGAACUUAAGCAUAUCAAUAAGCGGAGGA
Molecule: unclassified non-coding RNA, 348 nt
Filed under: soil metagenome
Description: partial contains 5.8S ribosomal RNA, internal transcribed spacer 2, and large subunit ribosomal RNA
Rfam family: 5.8S ribosomal RNA (bases 1-120)
Source: RNAcentral